GGGGAGGUGGAGGGCUUGGCCCAAGGCUACAUCCCUGGAAGCCAAAGAAAGGGGAAGAUGAGAUGGUAAACACAACAAGCAUGGCCAAGUGUCCGACCCCAGGAAGCACCCCAUCAGGAAGGGAUCGUCGCUGGUGAAUCGUGUAUGUGGCUCUGGGACAAGAGGCAGGUGAUGGCCAGAACAGAGCAGAGAAGCCAGACUGACCCUCCCAGCACCAGCCUCCCAGGGAAAGCCCAGGAACACCCAGAAUGGGUCAAGAAUGAGAAAUAACACAGGCCUUUUAUUUGCUCCA
Long non-coding RNA from Suricata suricatta (meerkat), 292 nucleotides. RefSeq lists it as uncharacterized. NCBI's taxonomy places the organism in Eukaryota, Metazoa, Chordata, Mammalia, Carnivora, Herpestidae. The record is from RefSeq and is a predicted model, not a curated record. The transcript is spliced from 2 exons.